ACAUCUGUUAAAAUAUUUUUUUAAAUGUGAAAGCAUUCUACCAUGGCUUUUCCUUCCCAUUCAAUAAAUAUUUCUUUUAAGUCAUACAUUUUUGCCUUCUGGUUGCAAACAUUUAAAUCUAAAAUUCACCCCUCUGCACAAGGCCAGAGCAAGUCACAUGGGCAACUUUAGCCCUAUUGCUUCCUUAGAGCUUUCCUUCAUCUACUGUUAUUAGUAUAUAAAUUAAGCAGAGUAACACAGGAGAAGAAAGAUAGAGGUCCUGAUUAAAAUAAGAAGAAAGAAUUACUAAGGUGCUAAACACUGUCCCUAGUCAUGUUCAUGUGUGUCACUAGGCAAGAUCACUCAAAUAGUACUUUUUCAUGUGCUCACUGAAUCUCAUGUUACAGGCUGACCUUCAAGACACACUUGGAUAAUAGAACUGCUGCUAGGAUGGGCCCUUGAAGCUGCUAUGAAUUUAAUCAGAGGUAUUUUAAAACACAAAAUACAUUUCAAAUGGAGAUUACCUGAAAUUUCAGGAAGGAGCACUCUUUAACACAUGUGAAAUACCUGGAGAAAGCCACACUAUGCACUUAGAUGACACUGCCCUGACCUUUUAGUUCUGCUGCUGGAUCAAAGUUCCAGUAGAUCAUCUUCUUCUAAACCCAAGAGGGAGCUAAGUAUUUCUGCUGGCCAAGUAGCAGCAAUCCUUAGUUAAAAUGGAACACCUUGUCCAGCAACACAGCUUAAACCCUCCUGUACAUUGUGAGGGCCAAAACAAUCCUUGGAAAGAACCUUUGCAAGUGCCAAGAAGCAGGAGUUCUUCUGUGAAACUGGAGUCCUGAGUACUGCUUUACCCAAGGCUUAUCUCCCCAUCACUCCAGCUACUGAGGAACUCAGUGAUGCAAGCCUCUCCCCUGUUCCAUGGGGUGCAAGUCCCAUUUCACACACACCAGGACAAUCCCUGAGCUCGUGGCUGUGUGCCAGGGGCUGGCUGCAGCAAGGCUUCCCAGUCCCACAGGAACCACUGCUGCUUUGCGUGAAGGCAGCUGAGUAUCGGCUGUGCUCGAGACACUGCACAGACCAGCACAACUGCCUUCGAACUUCAGCUUUAGAGCCUUUAUCUGGUUUUCUACUUUUAGUACUUGUGACUAAAGAUUGAAUCUGGGCAAAAACAUGUCUCAUACACAAACAUGUACCAAUGUGCUUCUUUAGUUCUGAGACAAAUCUCUUUUUUUCUUAUAGUAGACUCUUAUUUUGCAGUCUUAACUAGUUCAGAAUUUUUUAAAAAUUAUGAUGGCAUGUUGAUGCUGUCUCAAUAUGGACAUCUUUGUAUAGAUUCCUCAAUUCAAGCUAACAUGUGAUUUUAGUGGAUACUUUUGGAUGUGAUUUGUUACAAUAACAAAAUAUAUCCAGAUCUAGUUUGUUUACUGAGCAAGUAUUUUUUUAAUAAUUAAAAUGUUAUCAGAAGGAAAGUAAGAAAUAAGCUGGCAGUGUAACUCAACUGAAACAUGCUUUUAGAAAAAUUCUGGUUCAAGGUGAAAAUGCCCUCUAAAUAUGGGCAUUACAGAUCUACUGUGUAGAUUACUUUUUAAAAAAAUUAUUAUUAUUUUUUAGUUUUUGUAAGUGUAGACUGCUGGAUAAAAGCAAUAAAUAUUGUUAAGUAACAGAGUAAUAGCUGCAGGGGCACAUGGCCAUGAUACCCAUUUCCACAGAGCUGUUAAAGUGGUUCCAAUUUUUUUUGUUAUGUGAACAGAUUAGUGUCAUUACAUUUUCUUAAAUACUUUAAAAAUAAGAUCAAACACAAGAAAACAAAUACAAGCAUGUAAUAAGCUAUUUCAUAGAAAGUGAGCAAUAAAAGCAGUGAGAAAAACCAAACAAAAAUCCUAAAUCCUUACAAUUUGACAGCUUUCAUUUGUGGCAUCCCCUCCACUGAUCAGAGCAGUAAGCAUUAGACAGCAGGUAAAAAACCCCUAUCCUGCUCACAAAGUUCACCAUCCAUUUAUGCAGCAUACAAAAUGUGUAGGUAAUAUUCUGCAUUAGCUUCCAUUCAAAAAGUUACUAUGCAUGGAAUUAAAAAGUGUACUUUUAAUCCUGAGUAGACUGAGACGUAUCAUUAAAAACCCCAUUCAUUCCUCAGAAAGACAAAGGCUUCCCCCAAAAGCCCGUGCACUGAUCUAAGAUAGUGACUUAAUGUAGCAUCAGAUGGAUACACGUUGCAAGAUAUCAAGGCUACAAUGAAUAAGUAGAAAAAAGAGCCCAGUAAGAUCUAUCUAUCCCUGGGCAAACCUGGGGACCUGUGCCAGUGACAAUUUCAGUUUAGAUUUAGUAUAACACUAUGCAGAACCCCAUUAACUUUGGAUCUGAUUUGUCCUUCCAGGAAACAAACAAACGUGCGUGCUUACCAAACCAGCCCAGAAAAGACAGAAGAGGAGCAGCCAGAAAGUGUCCGUGCACUUUCUGUAAAUGGCUGGUCGCCAUUCCCGUACUUCAGAAACACCAUCUCCAGAGCUCUAAAUAGAAAAAAAAAAUAAAUUCAAGAAAACAGCAGACCUAUGAAACUUCCCGUGCAUUAACCCAAGCUGCAAGGGGCGGAGAUUUCAGCAAUCGCGUAACUCCGCACGCUCGGUGCGAACCCCCGGCAGCCGUGCCCCAGCGAGGAGCGCUGUCCGGCCGCGCUCACCUGCCGCCGGCCCCCGCGCCGCUCCAUGGCCGCGCUCGCCGGGCCGCGCCGGGCCGUGCCGGGCCGUGCUCCGCGGGGGCGGCGGGCGGGCCCGGGGCGCAGCCGGCCCGGCGGGGAGAGGCU
Taeniopygia guttata (zebra finch) is the source of this 2782-nucleotide non-coding RNA. Lineage: Eukaryota; Metazoa; Chordata; Aves; Passeriformes; Estrildidae. The record is from RefSeq and is a predicted model, not a curated record.